GCGGAAGUGGCGAAAUUGGCAUACGCGCAGGAUUUAGGUUCCUGUGCCCGUGAGGGCGUGGGGGUUCAAGUCCCCUCUUCCGCACC
Molecule: transfer RNA, 86 nt
Filed under: Actinoplanes sp. OR16
Lineage: Bacteria; Bacillati; Actinomycetota; Actinomycetes; Micromonosporales; Micromonosporaceae
Description: tRNA-Leu
Rfam family: tRNA
About the family: Transfer RNA (tRNA) molecules are approximately 80 nucleotides in length.
Source: RNAcentral